CCUACGGGUGGCAGCAGUGAGGAAUAUUGGUCAAUGGACGAGAGUCUGAACCAGCCAAGUAGCGUGAAGGAUGACUGCCCUAUGGGUUGUAAACUUCUUUUAUAAAGGAAUAAAACGAGGCACGUGUGCCUUUUUGCAUGUACUUUAUGAAUAAGCAUCGGCUAACUCCGUGCCAGCAGCCGCGGUAAUACGGAGGAUCCGAGCGUUAUCCGGAUUUAUUGGGUUUAAAGGGAGCGUAGAUGGGUUGUUAAGUCAGUUGUGAAAGUGUGCGGCUCAACCGUUAAAUUGCAAUUGAUACUGGCAGUCUUGAGUUCAGUUGAGGUAGGCGGAAUGCGUGGUGUAGCGGUGAAAUGCUUAGAUAUAACGAAGAACCCCGAUUGCGAAGGCAGCUUACCAAACUGUGACUGACAUUGAUGCUCGAAAGUGUGGGUAGCAAACAGGAUUAGAUACCCGAGUAGUC
This 460-nucleotide ribosomal RNA is filed under the name uncultured bacterium. RNAcentral's name for it is "partial 16S ribosomal RNA". It matches the Rfam family "Bacterial small subunit ribosomal RNA", at positions 338 to 795 of the family's 1533-position model. The record is from RNAcentral.